Molecule: non-coding RNA, 199 nt
Organism: Oryza glumipatula
Lineage: Eukaryota; Viridiplantae; Streptophyta; Magnoliopsida; Poales; Poaceae
Source: Rfam
UAGUUUUACCCUAAAUCAAAGUUCUCUAAAUUUGACCAAGUUUAUAGAAAAAUAAUUAACGUCUACAAUACCAAAUAAAUAGACUAUCAAGAAAUAUUUCAUGGCGGAUUUUGUUGAAACCAAUUUGAUGUUGUAGAUGUUGGUGCAUUUUUCUAUUAACUUGGUCAAAAUAGAAAAGUUUGACUUGGACAAAACUCAA